AUAGCGACCAAGUUUUGAGGUGUCCUUGGCCUGUUCAUGGCGCAAGGGUGAAACUGGGAAACAGGUGCGUGAGAUCCAAUGCGAUCCACAAUGCCUGUGCUGCCCCCGCAACGGUAAGCAAGCCGAUAUGCCAACAUGCCACUGUGAAAGACCUUCAUGGGAAGGCGGCAUAUUCUUAAAUCUUGCAAGCCCGGAGACCGGCCUGAAAACGAUCAAGGAA
Molecule: non-coding RNA, 220 nt
Filed under: Methylobacillus flagellatus
Lineage: Bacteria; Pseudomonadati; Pseudomonadota; Betaproteobacteria; Nitrosomonadales; Methylophilaceae
Also listed under: 1 other name
Source: RNAcentral